GACGAACGCUGGCGGCGUGCCUAAUACAUGCAAGUUGAGCGCUGAAGGUUGGUACUUGUACCAACUGGAUGAGCAGCAAACGGGUGAGUAACGCGUGGGGAAUCUGCCUUUGAGCGGGGGACAACAUUUGGAAACGAAUGCUAAUACCGCAUAAAAACUUUAAACACAAGUUUUAAGUUUGAAAGAUGCAAUUGCAUCACUCAAAGAUGAUCCCGCGUUGUAUUAGCUAGUUGGUGAGGUAAAGGCUCACCAAGGCGAUGAUACAUAGCCGACCUGAGAGGGUGAUCGGCCACAUUGGGACUGAGACACGGCCCAAACUCCUACGGGAGGCAGCAGUAGGGAAUCUUCGGCAAUGGACGAAAGUCUGACCGAGCAACGCCGCGUGAGUGAAGAAGGUUUUCGGAUCGUAAAACUCUGUUGGUAGAGAAGAACGUGGGUGAGAGUGGAAAGCUCAUCAAGUGACGGUAACUACCCAGAAAGGGACGGCUAACUACGUG
This 497-nucleotide ribosomal RNA is filed under the name uncultured bacterium. Its description in RNAcentral is "partial 16S ribosomal RNA". It matches the Rfam family "Bacterial small subunit ribosomal RNA", at positions 28 to 507 of the family's 1533-position model. The record is from RNAcentral.